This 782-nucleotide ribosomal RNA is filed under the name uncultured bacterium. Its description in RNAcentral is "bacterial SSU rRNA". It matches the Rfam family "Bacterial small subunit ribosomal RNA", at positions 56 to 843 of the family's 1533-position model. The record is from RNAcentral.
UGCAGUCGAGGGGUAUUAGGAGCUUGCUCCUAAGAGACCGGCGCACGGGUGCGUAACGCGUAUGCAAUCUACCUUGUACAGAGGAAUAGCCCAGAGAAAUUUGGAUUAAUGCCUCAUAGUAUAUUGGGUCGGCAUCGACCUAUUAUUAAAGAUUUAUCGGUACAAGAUGAGCAUGCGUCCCAUUAGUUAGUUGGUAAGGUAACGGCUUACCAAGACGAUGAUGGGUAGGGGUCCUGAGAGGGAGAUCCCCCACACUGGUACUGAGACACGGACCAGACUCCUACGGGAGGCAGCAGUGAGGAAUAUUGGGCAAUGGAGGCAACUCUGACCCAGCCAUGCCGCGUGCAGGAAGACGGUCCUAUGGAUUGUAAACUGCUUUUAUACGGGAAGAAACACUCCGACGUGUCGGAACUUGACGGUACCGUAAGAAUAAGGAUCGGCUAACUCCGUGCCAGCAGCCGCGGUAAUACGGAGGAUCCAAGCGUUAUCCGGAAUCAUUGGGUUUAAAGGGUCCGUAGGCGGCCUUAUAAGUCAGUGGUGAAAUCUCCUAGCUCAACUAGGAAACUGCCAUUGAUACUGUAGGGCUUGAAUUAUUGUGAAGUAACUAGAAUAUGUAGUGUAGCGGUGAAAUGCUUAGAUAUUACAUGGAAUACCAAUUGCGAAGGCAGGUUACUAACAAUCGAUUGACGCUGAUGGACGAAAGCGUGGGUAGCGAACAGGAUUAGAUACCCUGGUAGUCCACGCCGUAAACGAUGGAUACUAGCUGUUGGGAGCAAUCUCAG